Non-coding RNA from Cinara cedri, 253 nucleotides. The record is from the annotation of a GenBank genome assembly. NCBI's taxonomy places the organism in Eukaryota, Metazoa, Arthropoda, Insecta, Hemiptera, Aphididae.
AUAUAGGUACUAUAUAAAUACGGCUUAUGGGGGGGGGGGGAAUCCAUUGCCCAUAUUCCUUCCACCGUCAUUAGGAAGGGUUUGUGGAGUUUGUGAGUUUUUCAGGCAUCCGGUUGUAUUAGCCGACAGGAUUAGACGAUUAGAUGAUGAUGGAAAAAGUGAAUUACGGCUUUUUCCGUUGUGACAGGCAAUUUAUUAGCAUGUCUAUACAUUCUCGGCGGUCUCGAUUAUCGAGGCGACCGCGCAACACUUU